RNAcentral lists this ribosomal RNA (253 nucleotides) under uncultured bacterium. RNAcentral describes it as "partial 16S ribosomal RNA". It matches the Rfam family "Bacterial small subunit ribosomal RNA", at positions 524 to 776 of the family's 1533-position model. The record is from RNAcentral.
UACAGAGGUCUCAAGCGUUGUUCGGAUUCAUUGGGCGUAAAGGGUGUGUAGGUGGCGCGCUAAGUCGGGUGUGAAAUUUCGGAGCUUAACUCCGAAACUGCAUUCGAUACUGGCGUGCUUGAGGACUGGAGAGGAGACUGGAAUUCAUGGUGUAGCAGUGAAAUGCGUAGAUAUCGUGAGGAAGACCAGUUGCGAAGGCGGAUCUCUGGGCAGUUCCUGACACUGAGGCACGAAGGCCAGGGGAGCAAACGGG